This 494-nucleotide ribosomal RNA is filed under the name uncultured bacterium. RNAcentral describes it as "bacterial SSU rRNA". It matches the Rfam family "Bacterial small subunit ribosomal RNA", at positions 28 to 517 of the family's 1533-position model. The record is from RNAcentral.
GAUGAACGCUAGCGGCAGGCUUAAUACAUGCAAGUCGAACGGCAGCACGUGUAGCAAUACAUGGUGGCGAGUGGCGCACGGGUGCGUAACACGUAUGUAACCUACCUCUAACAGUGGCAUAACAAUGAGAAAUUAUUGCUAAUUCCGCAUGUGGUUAAUUUGAGGCAUCUUAGAUUAACUAAAGAUUUAUCGGUUAGAGCUGGGCAUGCGUCCCAUUAGCUAGUUGGUGAGGUAACGGCUCACCAAGGCAUCGAUGGGUAGGGGCUCUGAGAGGAUUGUCCCCCACACUGGUACUGAGACACGGACCAGACUCCUACGGGAGGCAGCAGUAAGGAAUAUUGGGCAAUGGACGCAAGUCUGACCCAGCCAUGCCGCGUGAAGGAAGACGGCCCUAUGGGUUGUAAACUUCUUUUCUCAGGGGGUAAACUCCGGAACGUGUUCCGGACUGAAAGUACCUGAGGAAUAAGCAUCGGCUAACUCCGUGCCAGCAGCCG